This 93-nucleotide transfer RNA is filed under the name Rhizoctonia solani. RNAcentral describes it as "tRNA-Met". It matches the Rfam family "tRNA". From Rfam's summary of the family: Transfer RNA (tRNA) molecules are approximately 80 nucleotides in length. Their secondary structure includes four short double-helical elements and three loops (D, anti-codon, and T loops). Lineage: Eukaryota; Fungi; Basidiomycota; Agaricomycetes; Cantharellales; Ceratobasidiaceae. The record is from RNAcentral.
AGCUUCUUAGCGCAGUGGAAGCGCGCGGGGCUCAUACCGUUAUCAAAUGGCUUUGUCACCCCGAGGUCCUCGGAUCGAGACCGAGAGAAGCUA